UUUAUAAAUACAUUUUUUUCUAGACUUUUGUUGUUAAAGUUUUGAUCAGUAUUUCAAAUUAGCAUUUCAGGUUGCAGCUCAAACGAUUGUACAGAUCACUGAUUCUACCAUUCUUGUGAUACCUCUGGUUUUAAUCUUGUUCAAAACCGGCUGUUUCAGUGUCUGUAGCUUAAAAUCCAUCAACUGAGCUGCUGCUGUCCUCACCCUGUUCAGUAAGAGGGCCUUAGACACACCUUUCUCUGCACGUAGUCUGCGUAUGUUUCAAUACCCAUACUGUAUAUCAUGCUAUAAGAAGAUUUAGUAUUUUUCAGUAUAUAAUAUACAGUCUGCCAAAAGUAUGUGGAUGUCCGACUACAUUUGGUUUCAUUUUGAAGAAUGGAAGCCAGCAUGUGACAUUGUCACAUCACAACAGGCUGUAAACUUGAACGACUCACUCAGAGUCACGAUUUCUGAUUUAUAGAAAUGAGGGGAUGGUCUUUUUACUUCUGUUCUGGAUGGCUGCAGACACUGAAGACGCAUAAUUAUUUACAAAUGAAAUGAAAAACUGGAUUUUGCUUAACCCUUUAAAGGGCACUCUUUCAAAUACUUUGAAAUGGCUGCUGCAGCCAAUGAUGCGAUUCACAUACGUUUUUUAUAUGACUGUAUAUAAUGGUAUUUACGCAGCUGAUCAACGUCACGCGUCCUUAUGUGUAGCCAUCGUUGUUCUCAUAGAUAUGAAUGAGUAGAUAGGACACGCCCCUUUGAGCUGCGUGCUACAGCGAGGCUAAGCUAGUGGGGGAAAAGUUUCAGUGCAUUCUGUUGAUGUAGACGGCGUGAAAACGGAAACAACAAGUAUGCCGGCUCACUGUGCUGCAUACAGUUAUACACUACGUCGUACGACUGAGACAAGGAAACUUGGAAUGACUUUUCAUAGGUUUCCCAGAGACUAUGGGUUGAGGAGGAAGUGGAAGUUUGUCGGCUUAGACCUGGUGUCAUUCCAUCAGUGUUAAACUUCCCGGCUCAUCUUGGAAGAGUAAGUGCCAGAAAGACCACGACCAAGCAGCCUUGAGAUCUUAGGCAGUGUCUCCCUGAGGUCCCUCUCUAUCUCCCCACACAUCCACCAACCACUGGAACACAUCUCCAAAGUUCUGCCAGGCCAGCUCAGCUUCCCCUCAGAAGAACUGCCUCCACCUGCCAGAUGAAGGAGCCUUUUGAGAGGCAACUGGCAUCAUGAUUGGACUGUACUUUGGUCUGUUCCAAUCCAGCUUCAGCUCCAGAGACAGCAGGCGGGACGAGUCAACGGAGGCUGGGUGGACGAAGGCAUGCAGCUGAGUACAAUCCAGAAAACAACAGAGGAGGAGUGCAGCAGCCCAGAGCCAGAACAAGCAGAGUAGCAUCACCAAAGAACUACAGACUCUUCACAACCUGCUCAAACUCUUGGUACAGGACCUCACCACACGGGUCAAGAAGGUUUCUGUCUCAUUUCUACUCUGAAGAUCACCUUCUCCUGCUCAAACUACUGACAAAUGUUUCUGCUGCUCUAAAGUCUGGAAUCCAGAACUUCCUAAAAACUCUCAAAGUCUCUUCUGCUGCAGGUUGCUUUGUAGAACUAUUCCAGAAAACCUCACUAAACCACAUGGAGGGGCCUCAAGAUAGUCGUCCAAAUGAAACCAUACAAAAACCAAACUAGCACAACCCAAACGCUAAAGUCUCCUGCAGCCUACCAGAGAACCUCUGAGAACAGAGAAUCAGGACAGGAACUCUUACCUUCUGGACAACCAACGCUGGUUCUCAAACAAGAAUACAGAAUGUGUCUGACCAGAAACCUCUAAAGACUCACUACAGCCAAGAUAAAGACACAACUCAGCUGUACCAAAUCCACUAAUCACUGCACACAUUAGCACCAUGUGCUAACUGUGGCUAAAGAACCACAUUUACCAAGACAACUAUCCAGUACAAAGCCCUAAAACACACCAAGAAACACAUUAAAGACGAUUUUACUGCUGGAAGCUGCAAGUCAAAGCCUAAAGAACAAACUAAAGCAAUGGAGCCAAACCAGGUUCUGUGGUGAAGAGAAGCAGAGGAAAUGUUUGUCUGCAGCUAAAUAAAGCAGGAAGACACUGAGCUGCUCAGGUGUUCCUGAUAACACCAAGCAGCCACCUGGACAGCCAAUAGGAACACAGCUUACUGGAAGUCCAGAGGGCUGGGUUAGUGAAGGAAAUUUAAUUCAAAGUUGAAGCAGAAAGUUAAUAAAGAAAGUUGAAAACCA
Long non-coding RNA from Amphiprion ocellaris (clown anemonefish), 2248 nucleotides. RefSeq lists it as uncharacterized. Lineage: Eukaryota; Metazoa; Chordata; Actinopteri; Pomacentridae. The transcript has 4 exons. The record is from RefSeq and is a predicted model, not a curated record.